CCGGCAGGUGUAUCCGAACGAGCUGACCACGGCUUAUUCGGACGACGCGCUCCUCGGACCCUCCUUCUUCCGCGUCGGCCGGUGGCAAUACAACAUCCAUGGCGGACACCACGUCCAGCGUUUCGACCUGGAUGCUGUCAUUGACAUGCCGGCCGCACGUGUGGAGAAGGUCGUGUUCCGCGUUAAGUCAAACUGGGGCGCGGCGCAUACAUGUCUCUAUCGUGUGAGACUGCAUGGACACCUAUAGGCAUACUUCCGCCGGAAGCUAUGGGUCUUGGUGGAAAUGGUGUUUUCUUUCUCCCCUAACUGGUAAGCUGGAUGGAAUGUACGGUGGUUAACAUGGUGGGUGUGGUUUUUACUGAGAGCGGGCUAAAGGGGGUUUUGUGAGUGUUCCUGGGGUUGUAUUACAUGCGUUGUUUGUGGGUAUUAUAUGUGUCUUGUACAGAUAUAUAGAAGGGCUCUUGGUGUUGAGUAGGUUGGGUGUUUGGGAUUUGGUGUUCUGGGUUCUUGAUGUCGCAUUUCGUCUGGGUGGUGGAUUUGGAGGGUUUUUUCGAGUCUGGAGUUUUGGGCUAGAUAUUCAACAAGGCAGGUGUGUGUGGGCGGUUUCUGGGUAAUGUACUGGACUUGGUCUUUGUUGCUAGCGGUGCAGGAUGUCUUUUUAUUUUAUUUUAUUUUAUUUUUUAUUUUAUUUUUUUUUUCUUCCGAAAUUUUCUUUUCUGCCAUUUUAUGUUUGUUUUCCGCUCCCUCUCUCUACAGUUAUGUGUGAGCGUUUUUUCUGUAUCAUUCCCACAUAUUCUCCUUAGUUUUUGAUUUUUGAUAUUUUUUGAUAUUUAUUUUCCAGCUUGCGUGUCCUCUCUGUACCCUGCAUAUAAAGCUGCGUCUUUUUUUUCUUUCUUUUUCUUAUAGUUUAUUCUAUUUUAUUUGUAUUCUUCUCUUUGUUUACCUUUUACUGUGGCAAUGUAUUUAUCGAUUUCCCGGGCAUCUACCUGGCAUAGAUUGCAUGACGUUUAUUAAUAGUGAGAUUCAACUC
This 1030-nucleotide small RNA is filed under the name Histoplasma capsulatum. RNAcentral's name for it is "hypothetical RNA". RNAcentral also lists the same sequence under 1 other name. The record is from RNAcentral. Lineage: Eukaryota; Fungi; Ascomycota; Eurotiomycetes; Onygenales; Ajellomycetaceae.